CUACGGGUGGCAGCAGUGAGGAAUAUUGGUCAAUGGGCUUACGCCUGAACCAGCCAAGUCGCGUGAGGGAAGACUGCCCUAUGGGUUGUAAACCUCUUUUGUCAGGGAGCAACGCCGGCUACGUGUAGCCGGACUGAGAGUACCUGAAGAAAAAGCAUCGGCUAACUCCGUGCCAGCAGCCGCGGUAAUACGGAGGAUGCGAGCGUUAUCCGGAUUUACUGGGUGUAAAGGGCGUGUAGCCGGGCUGACAAGUCAGAUGUGAAAUCCGGGGGCUCAACCCCCGAACUGCAUUUGAAACUGUUGGUCUUGAGUAUCGGAGAGGCAGGCGGAAUUCCUAGUGUAGCGGUGAAAUGCGUAGAUAUUAGGAGGAACACCAGUGGCGAAGGCGGCCUGCUGGACGACAACUGACGGUGAGGCGCGAAAGCGUGGGGAGCAAACAGGAUUAGAUACCCGGGUAGUC
This 460-nucleotide ribosomal RNA is filed under the name uncultured bacterium. RNAcentral describes it as "partial 16S ribosomal RNA". It matches the Rfam family "Bacterial small subunit ribosomal RNA", at positions 339 to 795 of the family's 1533-position model. The record is from RNAcentral.